RNAcentral lists this transfer RNA (70 nucleotides) under Quadrella coronata. RNAcentral's name for it is "tRNA-Gln". The record is from RNAcentral. Lineage: Eukaryota; Metazoa; Arthropoda; Malacostraca; Decapoda; Trapeziidae.
UAUACGUAGGUGUGGUUUGCAUGAGAAGGUUUGGUUUUCUAGGAGGUAGAGGAAACACUAUCACGUAUAU